Non-coding RNA from Acanthisitta chloris (rifleman), 237 nucleotides. NCBI's taxonomy places the organism in Eukaryota, Metazoa, Chordata, Aves, Passeriformes, Acanthisittidae. The record is from Rfam.
UCAGUGAGAAGAUUGAUACAUUUUUCUAUGGAAGCUGAAGUGCUCAAAUCUGGCUGGGCAACAGUGCACUCCAGCCAGGAAUAAUAGAAUAGAACCCUUUUUUGUUGUUUUUUUUGGAAGCAAGGCCAUGAUUAAGAGCAAUGGCUAAAGGCAUUCAUAUUAUACCACUUGAACUGGAAUUCUUGGACCAGUGCAAGGUGACCUGAAGCAAAGCCAUUCACCAAGAAUAUUUUCAUU